Molecule: small RNA, 46 nt
Filed under: Planctomycetaceae bacterium SCGC AG-212-F19
Lineage: Bacteria; Pseudomonadati; Planctomycetota; Planctomycetia; Planctomycetales; Planctomycetaceae
Description: Acido-Lenti-1 RNA
Rfam family: Acido-Lenti-1 RNA
Source: Rfam by way of RNAcentral
CCCAGCGAUAAAUCGCUGGGCUAUUUUCGGUUGCCCCUCCGGGGCA